Molecule: ribosomal RNA, 468 nt
Filed under: uncultured bacterium
Lineage: Bacteria
Description: partial 16S ribosomal RNA
Rfam family: Bacterial small subunit ribosomal RNA
Source: RNAcentral
GACGAACGCUGGCGGCGUGCUUAACACAUGCAAGUCGAACGGAAAGGCCCUGCUUUUGUGGGGUGCUCGAGUGGCGAACGGGUGAGUAACACGUGAGUAACCUGCCCUUGACUUUGGGAUAACUUCAGGAAACUGGGGCUAAUACCGGAUAGGAGCUCCUGCUGCAUGGUGGGGGUUGGAAAGUUUCGGCGGUUGGGGAUGGACUCGCGGCUUAUCAGCUUGUUGGUGGGGUAGUGGAUUACCAAGGCUUUGACGGGUAGCCGGCCUGAGAGGGUGACCGGCCACAUUGGGACUGAGAUACGGCACAGACUCCUACGGGAGGCAGCAGUGGGGAAUAUUGCACAAGGGGCGGAAGCCUGAUGCAGCAACGCAGCGUGCGGGAUGACGGCCUUCGGGUUGUAAACCGAUUUCGCCUGUGACGAAGCGUGAGUGACGGUAAUGGGUAAAGAAGCACCGGCUAACUACGUG